GGUAAAAGCAUCAUUUCAAUGAUU
This 24-nucleotide small nuclear RNA is filed under the name Arabidopsis thaliana (thale cress). RNAcentral describes it as "snRNA_13940". The record is from RNAcentral. Lineage: Eukaryota; Viridiplantae; Streptophyta; Magnoliopsida; Brassicales; Brassicaceae.